AAAGUCUAAACGACUCUCGGCAACGGAUAUCUCGGCUCUCGCAUCGAUGAAGAACGUAGCGAAAUGCGAUACUUGGUGUGAAUUGCAGAAUCCCGUGAACCAUCGAGUCUUUGAACGCAAGUUGCGCCCGAGGCCUCGGCCGAGGGCACGUCUGCCUGGGU
This 161-nucleotide ribosomal RNA is filed under the name Terminalia chebula (chebulic myrobalan). RNAcentral describes it as "5.8S ribosomal RNA". It matches the Rfam family "5.8S ribosomal RNA". From Rfam's summary of the family: 5.8S ribosomal RNA (5.8S rRNA) is a component of the large subunit of the eukaryotic ribosome. RNAcentral also lists the same sequence under 2 other names. Lineage: Eukaryota; Viridiplantae; Streptophyta; Magnoliopsida; Myrtales; Combretaceae. The record is from RNAcentral.